UACGUAGGGGGCAAGCGUUAUCCGGAUUUACUGGGUGUAAAGGGAGCGUAGACGGUGAUGCAAGUCAGAAGUGAAAGCCCGGGGCUCAACUCCGGGACUGCUUUUGAAACUGUGUAACUGGAGUGCAGGAGAGGUAAGCGGAAUUCCUGGUGUAGCGGUGAAAUGCGUAGAUAUCAGGAGGAACACCAGUGGCGAAGGCGGCUUACUGGACUGUAACUGACGUUGAGGCUCGAAAGCGUGGGGAGCAAACAGG
Molecule: ribosomal RNA, 253 nt
Filed under: uncultured bacterium
Lineage: Bacteria
Description: partial 16S ribosomal RNA
Rfam family: Bacterial small subunit ribosomal RNA
Source: RNAcentral